CACGGGGGGAGCAAGCGUUGUUCGGAAUUACUGGGCGUAAAGGGCGUCUAGGCGGAUAGGUAAGUGGGAUGUGAAAUCCCCAGGCUUAACCUGGGAACUGCAUCCGAUACUGGAUGGCUUGAAUCCGGGAGAGGGAUGCAGAAUUCCAGGUGUAGCGGUGAAAUGCGUAGAUAUCUGGAGGAAUACCGGUGGCGAAGGCGGCAUCCUGGACCGGCAUUGACGCUGAUGAGCGAAAGCUAGGGGAGCAAACGGG
RNAcentral lists this ribosomal RNA (253 nucleotides) under uncultured bacterium. RNAcentral describes it as "partial 16S ribosomal RNA". It matches the Rfam family "Bacterial small subunit ribosomal RNA", at positions 524 to 776 of the family's 1533-position model. The record is from RNAcentral.